CCCUACGGGGCGCAGCAGGCGCGAAAACUUUACAAUGCUGGAAACAGCGAUAAGGGGACCUCGAGUGUCAGGUUACAAAUCUGGCUGUCGUGAUGCCUAAAAAGCAUUGCAUAGCAAGGGCCGGGCAAGACCGGUGCCAGCCGCCGCGGUAACACCGGCGGCUCGAGUGGUAACCGUUAUUAUUGGGUCUAAAGGGUCUGUAGCCGGCCGGAUAAGUCUCUUGGGAAAUCUGGCAGCUUAACUGUCAGGCUUUCAGGAGAUACUGUCUGGCUCGAGGCCGGGAGAGGUGAGAGGUACCUCAGGGGUAGGGGUGAAAUCCUGUAAUCC
RNAcentral lists this ribosomal RNA (327 nucleotides) under uncultured archaeon. Its description in RNAcentral is "bacterial SSU rRNA". It matches the Rfam family "Archaeal small subunit ribosomal RNA", at positions 321 to 648 of the family's 1478-position model. The record is from RNAcentral.